Frieseomelitta varia is the source of this 161-nucleotide long non-coding RNA. RefSeq lists it as uncharacterized. The transcript is spliced from 3 exons. The record is from RefSeq and is a predicted model, not a curated record. Lineage: Eukaryota; Metazoa; Arthropoda; Insecta; Hymenoptera; Apidae.
CCCAAUUAAACAUGAAUUUAAAUUGUAUAUUAAAUACAAAAGUAAAUUGAUAUAAAAUUCUAUAGGGUCUUAUCGUCCCGAUAAAAAAAAUUUUUUAACAUUUUUAUUAAAAUUUCAAAUUCAUAAUUUAUAUGUGAGACAGUAUAUAUUUGAUUAACCUU